Molecule: transfer RNA, 62 nt
Filed under: Macrolycus submontanus
Lineage: Eukaryota; Metazoa; Arthropoda; Insecta; Coleoptera; Lycidae
Also listed under: 6 other names
Description: tRNA-Leu
Source: RNAcentral
UUAUUUUGGCAGAAUAGUGCAAUUGAUUUAGAAUCAUUUUAAGUAAUUUUUACAGGUAAUAU